GAACGCCGUAUGAGGUGAAAAUCUCACGUACGGUGUGGAGUGGGGGAAAAGGUGGAAAAUCUUAUUAUUUUAA
Molecule: non-coding RNA, 73 nt
Organism: Lachnobacterium bovis DSM 14045
Lineage: Bacteria; Bacillati; Bacillota; Clostridia; Lachnospirales; Lachnospiraceae
Source: Rfam